Molecule: unclassified non-coding RNA, 405 nt
Filed under: soil metagenome
Description: partial contains 5.8S ribosomal RNA, internal transcribed spacer 2, and large subunit ribosomal RNA
Rfam family: 5.8S ribosomal RNA (bases 1-121)
Source: RNAcentral
GAUGAAGAACGUAGCGAAAUGUGAUAAGUAAUGUGAAUUGCAGAAUUCAGUGAAUCAUCGAAUCUUUGAACGCACCUUGCGCCCUUUGGACAUUCCGAAGGGCAUGCCUGUUUGAGUAUCAUGAACACCUCAACUCUCACGGCUUGUCCGUGAUGAGCUUGGACUUUGGGGGUCUUGCCGGCCUGUGGUCGGCUCCUCUCAAAUGGAUCAGCUUGCCAGUGUUUGGUGGCAUCACAGGUGUGAUAACUAUCUGCGCUUGUGGUUUUCCAUCAGAUAACCUUCAGUGAUAUGGAGGUUCGCUGGAGCUCACAAAUGUCUCUCCUUAGUGAGGACAGCUCUUUGAACGUUUGAUCUCAAAUCAGGUAGGACUACCCGCUGAACUUAAGCAUAUCAAUAAGCGGAGGA